Molecule: long non-coding RNA, 1179 nt
Organism: Papaver somniferum (opium poppy)
Lineage: Eukaryota; Viridiplantae; Streptophyta; Magnoliopsida; Ranunculales; Papaveraceae
Exons: 7
Source: RefSeq, a predicted model, not a curated record
CUGCCUCCUCCUCCUCCUCUCCCCCUGCUCGUACUCUUGAGAUAUUUUACUUUCUUCUUCUCACGACUUAAUCACUCGAAUCGUAAUUUAUCAGGUUUUACUUCAGCUUCUUGUUCAACGAGAUCCAUCAACAACAUCAAUUCUUGAAGAUAUGUUCUAUAUCGAUGAAGAAGAUUCGACGAAGAUCAUCAACAACAUAAAACGAAGAUUCAUCAACAAAGAAUGAAUCGAAAGAUGGGUGAUAGAAGAUACACAGUUUACUCAAUCAUGUAUUUGGCUCCUAAAAUCAGUGGAAAGUUUCCAAAGGGAAUGGUGAAUGUGCCCACUACCAUUGUAAAGGUGAAACCUAAUACUAUUGGGGAAAAGGCUGCUGCUGCAGCACUAAUUCUAGCACAUGGAAUGGCAGCUCCUAAUAGCAACAAUGCUUCUGCAGAUAGCAAUGUCGCGGAAGAAGCAUUGAUGGGGGUCGAAUGCAAAAGAGUUUCUAUCAAAGAAGAGAUGGACUGUGAUAGUGACAUGAGCUGACAUGAGCAUUGAGAUGGAAUAUGAUGUGCAACAUUGAGAUGGACUGUGAUAGUGACAUGAGCGAGGCAUCUUCCUCCGAGGCCGUUCCUUCCUAAAAGCGUUCUUCGUGGGUGUUUUGAAUGUACUAAUUGAUAAAAGCUCACGGCAAAGUGGUGUCCAGAAGCUGCACAAAGGCCUGUCCUUGAGGCUGACUUUUCUCGAUGAAACCAGUAUACGGGAUGUUGGAAAAGGAGCACUUGGAAGUGUAUAAGGAACUUAAAGCUUGGCGACCUUGAAGUGUUGCUUAGAUUGCUGAAUCAUCUUUUGGAGGGAGAAGUGACAAUGUGCAACUGACUACAAGGGAGUAAAGAAGACAGUGCGUUUAGGUUUGAAAUUAUAACAAUUCUCGAUAACAUAAUGUCAUACUCUAUGAGAAUUAAACUUGCACGUUUGAUGAAGGUUGUGAACAUAUAAUUAUAUAAAUGUCAAGAAGAAUUGACUCGUCCAUUUACUUAGAUAUGUUGUAGAAAUCUAACUCAAAGCCCAUUUAUAUUCAUGUUCAGUGUGGCACUCAAUGUGUCCCUCAUUGGUAUUCUGCCUGGAUUUGGCCUGAGUUUAGAAACUGAACUCAUUGGGUAUAUUGAUUGUAUGUUAUUGGCAUGAAUAAAUUUUCGA